GGCGAAAUAGGUUGGUGACCAAUAGGUUAAACAAAAGUUGUCUAUGGUCAUAAGUUUUGUGGCCAAAAAAAGUUGAGUGAGACAUUUCGCGCUCAUUCACUUCCGCCUCCCUCUCGGUCGCAACUGUUUUGCAUCUUGUUUCAUCGCGUUUCACGAUGCCCCGCUUCAACUACGAUUCCACCACGGCCGUCUGCAUCGCCACGGGAUUGUCCCAUCAAGGCGAUGCACGGUAUAAAG
This is a long non-coding RNA of Ostrinia nubilalis (European corn borer), 237 nucleotides long. RefSeq lists it as uncharacterized. Lineage: Eukaryota; Metazoa; Arthropoda; Insecta; Lepidoptera; Crambidae. The transcript has 3 exons. The record is from RefSeq and is a predicted model, not a curated record.